ACCUGGCACAGCUCUGUCCCGGGAUGAAGUCCAGGCUGGGCUUCCCACCUUCGAGGGGCCUUGCCCCCCAACACUUAGCAUCUCCUGCAGCAGAAGGCGGUUCCUCUCCACGCGGUCAGACAGGGACAAGGUGCUGCCCCCGGUGCCCAGGGCCCCCAGGUCUCCAGCUCUCCAGAGCUCCCCCAGCAGGGCUGGCCUGGGGACGAAGUCCUCCUCAGACGUCAGAGACAAGCUGUCCAGGUCUUCCUGUGUGACGAGACCAUCCUGCAGGGGGUAUGACCUUCCUUUCCUCAGGCUUGUCCUGUGGGCGGUUUUGUUACAAGGACCAGAGCCUUCAGGCUGGCUUGGAGUGACUCUGUGCAUGGGGCUCUCUUGCAAAGAGCUGGGCCCUGGCGGCAGAGCCCUGUCGUGGUCAGGCAGUGUCCGUACCGCUUCUGGAGGCCACGGGCUCCUCCUGUUCCAGCUCUGGAGCCCAGAGGCAGGCGACCUGGGAGGCCCGGGGGCCCCGUUCCUGGCGGACUCCUCCUCAGUGAUGCUGCUGUCCAGCAGCCCGUCGUUUGGGUUCUGAGCGUGAUGGACCACCACGGCAUCAGAGAAGGGGCCAUGUGAGGACAGCGAGAAGGCAGCCGUCUGCAAGCCAAGCAGUUAGGCUUCCAGAGAAACCAAAUCCGCUAACACCUUGAUCUCUACUACCACUUCAGGACAAUGAGAAAUAUAUUUCUGUUAUUUAAGCUACCCAGUGUGUGGUAUUUUGUUAUGGUAGCCCUAGCAGACCAAGACAAUUUACCCAAUUUGUUUAUCCAUUCACCUGUUGAUGGACAUUUGGUUGUUUCCAGUUUUUUUGCAUUGUGAAUAAAGCUGCUAUUAACAUUCAUA
Molecule: long non-coding RNA, 876 nt
Organism: Balaenoptera ricei (Rice's whale)
Lineage: Eukaryota; Metazoa; Chordata; Mammalia; Artiodactyla; Balaenopteridae
Exons: 2
Source: RefSeq, a predicted model, not a curated record